GUCGAUCUAGCUCAACAGGUAGAGCACUGGUCUCCAAAACCAGAGGUAGCAGGUUCGAGUCCUGCGGUCGGCGCGA
Molecule: transfer RNA, 76 nt
Filed under: Fictibacillus arsenicus
Lineage: Bacteria; Bacillati; Bacillota; Bacilli; Caryophanales; Fictibacillaceae
Description: tRNA-Trp
Rfam family: tRNA
About the family: Transfer RNA (tRNA) molecules are approximately 80 nucleotides in length. Their secondary structure includes four short double-helical elements and three loops (D, anti-codon, and T loops). Further hydrogen bonds mediate the characteristic L-shaped molecular structure. tRNAs have two regions of fundamental functional importance: the anti-codon, which is responsible for specific mRNA codon recognition, and the 3' end, to which the tRNAs corresponding amino acid is attached (by aminoacyl-tRNA synthetases). tRNAs cope with the degeneracy of the genetic code in two manners: having more than one tRNA (with a specific anti-codon) for a particular amino acid; and 'wobble' base-pairing, i.e. permitting non-standard base-pairing at the 3rd anti-codon position.
Source: RNAcentral